RNAcentral lists this small RNA (1149 nucleotides) under Human betaherpesvirus 5. RNAcentral's name for it is "RNA5.0". Lineage: Duplodnaviria; Heunggongvirae; Peploviricota; Herviviricetes; Herpesvirales; Orthoherpesviridae. The record is from RNAcentral.
AACACCCACAAACAACGUCACGACGCAACGUGGUUAAACAGUACGUUUAUUAAAGUAACUGGGUGAACGACAACGGAGCGGACUGCAAAUCGCAACGCUACUUUCUCGAGUGCAGAUACUCUUCGAGACGGCUAAACAACGUGUCCAGCUCGCUGAGACCUUUCCGCGUGCCGUUAUCCGAUUUCCUUUCCGCCUCCUGAGACAGCCGACUAAUUACGGACUUAUCUCCGCAACCUAAUAGAGGCUGGGAGCCCGACAAAAGUAAAACAGCGUGCUAUGAACACGUUGUUACCUCUGCGCGGACAGCGCCGCCACAGAGACACUUACGCAUUGCCGCAUGUCUUUGUAGAUGGAUUCUAGCGUCGAGCGCAUACUAUGCAAUUCCGUCUUAAGUCCGGGAUAGACGUGGUCGCCUGCGGGGAACACGAUCUCCAGAUACCGCCUCAACAACCAGUCCAUGACGCUGCAUCCCCAACAGCCUUUGACCACCGUACCGUCGAGCCACACGGAGUAGUCGUCCUCACGUUGCUACAAGAGGAAAACUACGUCACCCGACACGCGGAAAAGAAAGGCCGUCGCAAUAAACCGUACCUACGUGACCUACCAACGUAGGUUUUACUCGAUGAAAGGUGACGCGGAGAUCUUGCAAUCUGGUCGCGUAAUCCUCCGGACGACACUGCGGCUUUGUAUUCUUUAUCGUCGUCGUCGUCGUCGCCGGCUUCGCCUCCUCGGAAGCGCCUAGAAAAAAGAUGAUCAGGACCAGAGAGGAAGAGACCAUCACCGACAGCAUCGCCGCAGCAUGCCGCCCCAGUCCGCCGCCCAACUACGCGUCCCAGAUACCACUCGUAGACUGUCAGCCUCGCGAGGAGACACCGCGGACCGGGGAAACGGAUAAGUUUACGAACAGAAAUCUCAAGAGAAAGACGCUGACCCGAUAAGUACCGUCACGGAGACACGGUGGUUUUUAUUGAAUUUCCAGUGUAUCGAGCCACCGUGAUGCAGGUACGGUGGUUUUAUGUAAAGUGCCGCUAUCUAUAGGCGAUGUGUUCCCUGACGGUGUGUGUUUUUUUGUGGAUAGACAACGUGGUUCUUGUACGUGGUUUUUACCCUGCUCAAUAAAGUCACGUUUUCCUUACACGGUGUUGUGUC